GAGUUUGAUCCUGGCUCAGAACGUACGCUGGCGGCACGCCUAAUACAUGCAAGUCGAACGAAGUAGCAAUACUUAGUGGCAGACGGGUGAGUAACAUGUGGGUAUCUUCCCUUUGGUGAGGAAUAACACGAGGAAACUUGUGCUAAUACCUCAUAAGUCUUUACGGAGAAAGCUUUAUGCGCCAAUGGAUGAGCCCGCACUUGAUUAGUUUGUUGGUAGGGUAAUGGCCUACCAAGACUGUGAUCAAUAGCUGAUUUGAGAGGAUGAUCAGCCACAUUGGGACUGAGACACGGCCCAAACUCCUACGGGAGGCAGCAGUAGGGAAUCUUGCACAAUGGAGGAAACUCUGAUGCAGCGAUGCCGCGUGAGUGAAGAAGGCCCUUGGGUUGUAAAGCUCUUUCGUCGGGGAAGAAAAUGACUGUACCCGAAUAAGAAGGUCCGGCUAACUUCGUGCCAGCAGCCGCGGUAAUACGAAGGGACCUAGCGUAGUUCGGAAUUACUGGGCUUAAAGAGUUCGUAGGUGGUUAAAAAAGUUGGUGGUGAAAGCCCAGAGCUUAACUCUGGAAUGG
RNAcentral lists this ribosomal RNA (569 nucleotides) under uncultured Candidatus Pelagibacter sp. Its description in RNAcentral is "bacterial SSU rRNA". It matches the Rfam family "Bacterial small subunit ribosomal RNA", at positions 9 to 623 of the family's 1533-position model. The record is from RNAcentral. Lineage: Bacteria; Pseudomonadati; Pseudomonadota; Alphaproteobacteria; Candidatus Pelagibacterales; Candidatus Pelagibacteraceae.